RNAcentral lists this ribosomal RNA (1537 nucleotides) under Vibrio parahaemolyticus VP250. Its description in RNAcentral is "bacterial SSU rRNA". It matches the Rfam family "Bacterial small subunit ribosomal RNA". The record is from RNAcentral. Lineage: Bacteria; Pseudomonadati; Pseudomonadota; Gammaproteobacteria; Vibrionales; Vibrionaceae.
GAGUUUGAUCAUGGCUCAGAUUGAACGCUGGCGGCAGGCCUAACACAUGCAAGUCGAGCGGAAACGAGUUAUCUGAACCUUCGGGGAACGAUAACGGCGUCGAGCGGCGGACGGGUGAGUAAUGCCUAGGAAAUUGCCCUGAUGUGGGGGAUAACCAUUGGAAACGAUGGCUAAUACCGCAUGAUGCCUACGGGCCAAAGAGGGGGACCUUCGGGCCUCUCGCGUCAGGAUAUGCCUAGGUGGGAUUAGCUAGUUGGUGAGGUAAGGGCUCACCAAGGCGACGAUCCCUAGCUGGUCUGAGAGGAUGAUCAGCCACACUGGAACUGAGACACGGUCCAGACUCCUACGGGAGGCAGCAGUGGGGAAUAUUGCACAAUGGGCGCAAGCCUGAUGCAGCCAUGCCGCGUGUGUGAAGAAGGCCUUCGGGUUGUAAAGCACUUUCAGUCGUGAGGAAGGUAGUGUAGUUAAUAGCUGCAUUAUUUGACGUUAGCGACAGAAGAAGCACCGGCUAACUCCGUGCCAGCAGCCGCGGUAAUACGGAGGGUGCGAGCGUUAAUCGGAAUUACUGGGCGUAAAGCGCAUGCAGGUGGUUUGUUAAGUCAGAUGUGAAAGCCCGGGGCUCAACCUCGGAAUUGCAUUUGAAACUGGCAGACUAGAGUACUGUAGAGGGGGGUAGAAUUUCAGGUGUAGCGGUGAAAUGCGUAGAGAUCUGAAGGAAUACCGGUGGCGAAGGCGGCCCCCUGGACAGAUACUGACACUCAGAUGCGAAAGCGUGGGGAGCAAACAGGAUUAGAUACCCUGGUAGUCCACGCCGUAAACGAUGUCUACUUGGAGGUUGUGGCCUUGAGCCGUGGCUUUCGGAGCUAACGCGUUAAGUAGACCGCCUGGGGAGUACGGUCGCAAGAUUAAAACUCAAAUGAAUUGACGGGGCCCGCACAAGCGGUGGAGCAUGUGGUUUAAUUCGAUGCAACGCGAAGAACCUUACCUACUCUUGACAUCCAGAGAACUUUCCAGAGAUGGAUUGGUGCCUUCGGGAACUCUGUGACAGGUGCUGCAUGGCUGUCGUCAGCUCGUGUUGUGAAAUGUUGGGUUAAGUCCCGCAACGAGCGCAACCCUUAUCCUUGUUUGCCAGCGAGUAAUGUCGGGAACUCCAGGGAGACUGCCGGUGAUAAACCGGAGGAAGGUGGGGACGACGUCAAGUCAUCAUGGCCCUUACGAGUAGGGCUACACACGUGCUACAAUGGCGCAUACAGAGGGCGGCCAACUUGCGAAAGUGAGCGAAUCCCAAAAAGUGCGUCGUAGUCCGGAUUGGAGUCUGCAACUCGACUCCAUGAAGUCGGAAUCGCUAGUAAUCGUGGAUCAGAAUGCCACGGUGAAUACGUUCCGGGCCUUGUACACACCGCCCGUCACACCAUGGGAGUGGGCUGCAAAAGAAGUAGGUAGUUUAACCUUCGGGGGGACGCUUACCACUUUGUGGUUCAUGACUGGGGUGAAGUCGUAACAAGGUAGCGCUAGGGGAACCUGGCGCUGGAUCACC